RNAcentral lists this long non-coding RNA (1190 nucleotides) under Fragaria vesca (wild strawberry). RNAcentral's name for it is "long non-coding RNA (FVES_LNC000002)". The record is from RNAcentral. Lineage: Eukaryota; Viridiplantae; Streptophyta; Magnoliopsida; Rosales; Rosaceae.
UAAACUUGAUAGCAUAUACAACUCGUAGUUCUUAGUAAUUAUGAAAGCAUAUGAUGAUCAGGUAUGUACACUCUUACUCAUCAUGGAUUCUUAAUACGACAAUCGAUCAAAAUAUAUAGAUCAAAGCAAAUCAAUAAAUUGUAUCAGAUUGUCAAAGGGACACAAUUUCCCUAUCACAAUAUAGAUGCAUACGUUAAUAAGAAACUAGAGUAUCAAAACAAGACAUCAAGUUUACCCAAGUAUAAUGACGAAUACAAACUUAUGCACAAAAUCAUAGGAAGUCAUUUUGCUCUAUAGAGAUGUCACUUAAGUAUCAAACUCACAGAUGUGAAGCACAAGAUCAUGACAUUAUUACCUUGUUAUGCACUUAGAGAUGUCAAUUACGGCUUAAGAUUGUUAGAAAUAUUGUGUUAGAAAACAUAUAUGAUAAAUAUAAUCAAGUAACCAAAUCAAGUAAGCAUGUAAUAUAAAUAUAAAUAAUAUAAAAGAAGAAGGCCUACAAGGGAGGCACGUGGACGUUGUCCUUAAGCCGUAGACGCCUCCCCACAUGCAGGUUAUGACGGUUGUACGUCUACUAAUUAACUCCAAGAUACAACCCUUGUAGUCACACAUAAUGUCUAAUCCGCUUUGCAUGACUAACGGUAGACGGGGUGUCAAGUGUUAAUCGAAUUGCCCAAACGAUAGGAAAUAAGAAUAUAAUGAAAAAGAUGAAGAUGAAGAGUAUGAGAGCAAGAUAUAUAUAAUUCCAUUACUCUUUGAUCGAGUAGAGUAUUUAUAGAACUCAUCAUAACCCUUAGAAAAGACAUGACUUUUCAAUUUGAAUAAAAAAUAUUUAAAAUGAAAAUAUGAGUUUUGAAUCUUAUUUUUAAUUAAAAAACCAACAUACCGGACUUUUCAAGUGUGUUUCACUAACCAGUGUGAAGACAUUUUAGCACAGAUUUUAGCUAAAUGAACAUAAAUUAAAGUGCAUCUCAUCUUCGAAGUGUAGCUUGCUUAAUGUUUUAAGCUAAUCCCUUGAGCUUUCCUUUAUUUAUAGGGUAAAAGUUAUAAAUGGUCCUCAUACUUUGGGGUCAUGGUUACGUUCGCCACCGUGGUUUAAAAAUAAUUAAUUUUGGUCCUCGUGUUUUAUGUAUCGACUAAUCAUAGUCCAAUGAUAACAUUUUAUCUAACACCUCUAGUGAGGCAGGUAU